AUUGAACGCUGGCGGCAUGCUUUACACAUGCAAGUCGAACGGUAACAGGGUGCUUGCACCGCUGACGAGUGGCGAACGGGUGAGUAAUGCGUCGGAACGUGCCGAGUAGUGGGGGAUAACGCAGCGAAAGUUGUGCUAAUACCGCAUACGUACUGAGGUAGAAAGUGGGGGACCUUCGGGCCUCACGCUAUUCGAGCGGCCGACGGCUGAUUAGUUAGUAGGUGAGGUAAAGGCUCACCUAGGCGACGAUCAGUAGCGGGUCUGAGAGGAUGAUCCGCCACACUGGGACUGAGACACGGCCCAGACUCCUACGGGAGGCAGCAGUGGGGAAUUUUGGACAAUGGGCGAAAGCCUGAUCCAGCCAUGCCGCGUGUCUGAAGAAGGCCUUCGGGUUGUAAAGGACUUUUGUCAGGGAGGAAAUCCCUAGUGCUAAUAACACUGGGGGAUGACAGUACCUGAAGAAUAAGCACCGGCUAACUACGUGCCAGCCGCCGCUGUAA
RNAcentral lists this ribosomal RNA (500 nucleotides) under uncultured bacterium. RNAcentral's name for it is "partial 16S ribosomal RNA". It matches the Rfam family "Bacterial small subunit ribosomal RNA", at positions 30 to 523 of the family's 1533-position model. The record is from RNAcentral.